This 253-nucleotide ribosomal RNA is filed under the name uncultured bacterium. RNAcentral's name for it is "partial 16S ribosomal RNA". It matches the Rfam family "Bacterial small subunit ribosomal RNA", at positions 524 to 776 of the family's 1533-position model. The record is from RNAcentral.
UACGUAGGGGGCAAGCGUUAUCCGGAUUUACUGGGUGUAAAGGGAGCGUAGACGGCUGUGCAAGCCAGAUGUGAAAGCCCGGGGCUCAACCCCGGGACUGCAUUUGGAACUGUGUGGCUGGAGUGUCGGAGAGGCAGGCGGAAUUCCUAGUGUAGCGGUGAAAUGCGUAGAUAUAUGGAAGAACACCAGUGGCGAAAGCGGCUCUCUGGUCUGUAACUGACGCUGAGGUUCGAAAGCGUGGGUAGCAAACAGG